This 222-nucleotide ribosomal RNA is filed under the name Malus domestica (apple). Its description in RNAcentral is "rRNA MD01G0171000". It matches the Rfam family "Bacterial large subunit ribosomal RNA", at positions 629 to 852 of the family's 2925-position model. Lineage: Eukaryota; Viridiplantae; Streptophyta; Magnoliopsida; Rosales; Rosaceae. The record is from Rfam by way of RNAcentral.
AAUUGGCAGUGGCUUGGUUAAGGGAACUCACUAGGGCUGUAGCAAAAGCGAGUCUUUAUAGGGCAAUUGUUACUGCUUAUGGAUCCAAAUUUGGGUGAUUUAUCCAUGAUCAAGAUGAAGCUUAAGUGAAACUAAGUGAAUGUCCAAAUCGACUAAUCUUGAGUAAUCAGUGGAUGAGUUGUGGUUAGGGGUGAAAUGCUGCUCAAACCCAAAGCUAGUCAG